Long non-coding RNA from Spinacia oleracea (spinach), 2179 nucleotides. RefSeq lists it as uncharacterized. The record is from RefSeq and is a predicted model, not a curated record. NCBI's taxonomy places the organism in Eukaryota, Viridiplantae, Streptophyta, Magnoliopsida, Caryophyllales, Amaranthaceae. The transcript is spliced from 5 exons.
UUUUUAUAAUUUGAAGUAAUAUUAAAUUGAUUCUUAUUUUUUUAAAAAUAAAGUUGUAUUUUCAUGAAUCAAUAUCUGCAGUUGUGAAUGUUGAUUGUAUUUAAUUUAGUAAAUCUGGGGAUCUUGUUCGAAAUUGGUGAUGGGUUGGUAUUGAAUUGAGCUAAUAAUCACUCGUUAUAUGGAAUUGAUUGGUUGAUGUUUUAAGAUGUAGAGAGAAAUUAAGUUAAGGCCUGUGAGCGAGGGGGUAUUAUUGAGUGAUUUAUCCUCGGGUAUUGUAGGUGAAAUGUAACAAUGAGGAAAAUGUUGCUGGGAUCGCUUUUGACACAGCAUUAAGAUUAGUUAAUCUGAACAUGCAUCUAAAAAAGGCUAAUGUCAUUAGCCUGAUUUAGUUCUCUUGUUGCAAGUUUAUUACUCCAUGUAUAUCUUUUAAUCAACAACAACCAUUGCGAAUUGCUAAAGUUGUAUCUCAAAUUGCCAAUGUUGUCUCUAGCUCAUUAAAGCUUUAGAAUACAGUUGGAUAUUACACCUUGUAAUAUAAUUACUUUUAUUUUUAUUUUUAUGUAAGAUUGAUCUGGAUAGUUCCUUUCACAAUAUUAAUGUUGAGAAUUUUCUAAGUGAGUGGUUGAUCACUUGAGUUAAAAGGUUUUAGUUGAGUUUAAUGAGAUAGUUAGCCUAACCUUAAUGUUCACUCUCAUUUUGUAUCUUAUUUGAGCGAGAUGUAGUGGGGGAAUUUAGUAAUUUGCUUUGGAGAAGUUAGUCAUCCUUUCUUGCAAGAACGUAACAAGUGUCAUGCUUCAAUCUCUUAUUUGGUUAAGAUUAGUUGGUGAUUGUUAUAGAAGCCUGUGCUCCUGGAGGUCUCUUAUAUUUUGAGUUCUAACUUCUAAGGGUAUAGAGGAAAGCAGGGUAAUGCUCAUCCUUUGUUUACAUGUAAUAUCCACAGUUUUGAUUUACAAUUUGUGAAGUGGGAAGCAUUUUGUGGUGAUGCAGAUUUCUAGAAAGGGGUACUUAACUACUUAUAGAUGUUCUGCAAAUUGAAUGAGAAUUGUAGCACUCUAUAUUAUUUUGGUUUUGGUCUCAGUUUACUGUCUUAUUGGUGUUCUAUGUUGUUUAUUUUCCUUUUCACAUGUUUGAAAUGGGAAGUCUUUAUCCAAAUCUUAAGAAAGGGUUUGUUCACUUAACCUUCAACAUGAUAGAGGAGGCUUGUCUUCAGAGAGGCUUGUGCUAAUGACAAUGCAGAUCAGAACCAAAACAACUCCGUCCACUGUCUUGAUCCUAAGUUCUACUCCAAGAUGAAAACACAUUAAUUGUGCUGAUCAAACAAAGGUGAAGAGCAGUUUCGACUUUGAAGUAGAUUCAAGCUCCAACAAUAAUUCACCACCUGCUACAAUUGAUAACUAAGACAUAUUCUUUCGUGCAUUAUCAAGUGUAGUUAUUGAGUCUUACAUCACUGUUCCUCUGUGUAUACUUGGAGCAAAGGUUAUUGCGGUGCAUUGUGUCAUGGAGAUGAGAUCGAAAAGAAAACUACAACUCUUGUAAGCAGCCUGAAGAAUCAUCUCGCUGUGCAGCAGUCCUGUCUCUGUUCAUUUUGGCAAGAGUGGACUUCAGUUGACUUUUUUGUGCUUGUAGUUUUCUUAUUGAGCGUGUGUUUGCUCAUUUGUUUGUUUGUUUGUUUUGGUAGUUGUACUAUAGAUUUUGGUUUUGUUUAUGUUUCUUGUUGGUUUGUGGGUGUUUUUUUUCCCCACCCUUGUAAAUACUUCUGUGGUUACCGUUACAUUUUUAAUUACCAAAAAGAGAAAAAAACACUUCCAUUGUAGGGUGGUCUAGGAACACAAUCAAGAGACAAUGUGCUCCUUAGAGUUUUUAAUCCACACUACUUGGCUUAACAUCUGAGUUUUUUAAUCCAAUCAAAGUUUUGCAGUGGACUCGCUUUGAAGGUUGAUUCUUUGAAACGGUUGUUAUCCUAGACAUCCCUUUGGGUCUUCUUAAAGGCACAAAAAGCAUUUUGUAGCACUUAUGCCCCUAAAAUCCUUUGUAUGCUAGCUUAUGAAUGCAGUUAAUUAGGAAAGUUCGUUUAUUAGAUGUUAAGUUAAUGGUAUGGAAACGUUUUAGAGGAACCUAUAUAUUCCUUGAAAAAGCCUACAAGUCCUAUUGCAAUACACAAAUGUGUAUUAUGUUUAUA